GAGGGUAUAGCUCAGUGGCAGAGUGUAUGUCUAGCAUGCACAAGGUCCUGGGUUCAAUCCCCUGUACCUCCA
This 72-nucleotide transfer RNA is filed under the name Camelus bactrianus (Bactrian camel). It matches the Rfam family "tRNA". Rfam says of the family: Transfer RNA (tRNA) molecules are approximately 80 nucleotides in length. Their secondary structure includes four short double-helical elements and three loops (D, anti-codon, and T loops). Further hydrogen bonds mediate the characteristic L-shaped molecular structure. tRNAs have two regions of fundamental functional importance: the anti-codon, which is responsible for specific mRNA codon recognition, and the 3' end, to which the tRNAs corresponding amino acid is attached (by aminoacyl-tRNA synthetases). tRNAs cope with the degeneracy of the genetic code in two manners: having more than one tRNA (with a specific anti-codon) for a particular amino acid; and 'wobble' base-pairing, i.e. permitting non-standard base-pairing at the 3rd anti-codon position. Lineage: Eukaryota; Metazoa; Chordata; Mammalia; Artiodactyla; Camelidae. The record is from Rfam by way of RNAcentral. RNAcentral also lists the same sequence under 2 other names.